RNAcentral lists this transfer RNA (72 nucleotides) under Otolemur garnettii (small-eared galago). It matches the Rfam family "tRNA". From Rfam's summary of the family: Transfer RNA (tRNA) molecules are approximately 80 nucleotides in length. The record is from Rfam by way of RNAcentral. Lineage: Eukaryota; Metazoa; Chordata; Mammalia; Primates; Galagidae.
GGGCCUGUGGCUCAGUGAGUAGGGUACUGGCCCCAUAUACUGAGGGUGGUGGGUUCAAACCCACCUGGCCCC